AAGUCGUAACAAGGUCUCCGUUGGUGAACCAGCGGAGGGAUCAUUACCGAGUUUACAACUCCCAAACCCAUGUGAACAUUACCUCUAUGUUGCUUCGGCGGAGCCGCCCCGGCGCCCGGAACCCCCUGCGGUCCCGCGGCCCGGAACCAAGGCGCCCGCCGGAGGCCACAAACUCUUCUGUUUUUACAGUUUCUUCUGAGUGUGCCGCAAGGCAGUAUACAAAUGAAUCAAAACUUUCAACAACGGAUCUCUUGGUUCUGGCAUCGAUGAAGAACGCAGCGAAAUGCGAUAAGUAAUGUGAAUUGCAGAAUUCAGUGAAUCAUCGAAUCUUUGAACGCACAUUGCGCCCGCCAGAAUUCUGGCGGCAUGCCUGUUCGAGCGUCAUUUCAACCCUCGAGCUCCCCUUUCGGGGGAGCCGGCGUUGGGGACCCGGCGCUAACAACGCCGGCCCCGAAAUGGAGUGGCGGCCCGUCCGCGGCGACCUCUGCGUAGUAACAACCACUCGCACCGGGACCCGGGCGCGGCCACGCCGUAAAACACCCCACCUUCCGAAUGUUGACCUCGAAUCAGGUAGGAAUACCCGCUGAACUUAA
Molecule: ribosomal RNA, 593 nt
Filed under: uncultured fungus
Lineage: Eukaryota; Fungi
Description: eukaryotic LSU rRNA
Rfam family: 5.8S ribosomal RNA (bases 232-384)
Source: RNAcentral